GACACCACUCGCCCCGACGGACCUCCCGGUCUCUGCUUCUUGCAGAAACGAGGGAAGAAGCCGGCGGCGGACUCUGCGUGCUCCGGAGCUCGCGCUCCGAGUGCACCGAACCUCGUGAACGAGACCCCCCUACUUGUAAUAGAGCAGGAUUGUUGACGGCAUGGCGUAUUUUCUGGGGAGAUUGGCACCUGCUAGGAACGCUCCAGCCGGCCACUCGACGCUUCGGCGUCUGUGACGGGCCUUGGCGGGAAUAGCAACCGCGAACCCCCCUAGACAAAACGCCACGACUUCUAGCAAUCCGACCCGCUCUUGUCCGUUUCGGGAGGUCGCCAAGUGUUUUCCGGUCGCCCGGCGCGCGCCCCGGGCGCGCGGACUAACCCCAAAUUUCGU
RNAcentral lists this unclassified non-coding RNA (390 nucleotides) under Cladosiphon umezakii. RNAcentral's name for it is "ITS2". Lineage: Eukaryota; Phaeophyceae; Ectocarpales; Chordariaceae. The record is from RNAcentral.